RNAcentral lists this transfer RNA (72 nucleotides) under Camelus bactrianus (Bactrian camel). It matches the Rfam family "tRNA". From Rfam's summary of the family: Transfer RNA (tRNA) molecules are approximately 80 nucleotides in length. The record is from Rfam by way of RNAcentral. RNAcentral also lists the same sequence under 2 other names. Lineage: Eukaryota; Metazoa; Chordata; Mammalia; Artiodactyla; Camelidae.
GGAGUUACAGUUCAGUCAUAGAGUGCAUGCUUGGCAUGUAUGAGGAACUGGGUUCAAUUCUCACUAUCUCCA